GUAAGGAAUAUUGGUCAAUGGAGGGAACUCUGAACCAGCCAUGCCGCGUGCAGGAUGACUGCCCUAUGGGUUGUAAACUGCUUUUGUCCAGGAAUAAACACCUCUACGUGUAGGGGCUUGAAUGUACUGGAAGAAUAAGGAUCGGCUAACUCCGUGCCAGCAGCCGCGGUAAUACGGAGGAUCCGAGCGUUAUCCGGAUUUAUUGGGUUUAAAGGGUGCGUAGGCGGCCUAUUAAGUCAGGGGUGAAAGACGGCAGCUUAACUGUCGCAGUGCCUUUGAUACUGAUGGGCUUGAAUGUGGUUGAAGAUGGCGGAAUGAGACAAGUAGCGGUGAAAUGCAUAGAUAUGUCUCAGAACUCCGAUUGCGAAGGCAGCUGUCUAAGUCAUUAUUGACGCUGAUGCACGAAAGCGUGGGGAUCGAACAGGAUUAGAAACCCUAGUAGUCC
RNAcentral lists this ribosomal RNA (445 nucleotides) under uncultured bacterium. RNAcentral's name for it is "bacterial SSU rRNA". It matches the Rfam family "Bacterial small subunit ribosomal RNA", at positions 354 to 796 of the family's 1533-position model. The record is from RNAcentral.